Non-coding RNA from Schistosoma rodhaini, 46 nucleotides. The record is from Rfam. NCBI's taxonomy places the organism in Eukaryota, Metazoa, Platyhelminthes, Trematoda, Strigeidida, Schistosomatidae.
GCACUCCUGAGGAGUCCCAUAAUAGGACGAAACGGCCGUCCAGUGC